CUUUGUAGGAGAACAUGACAAUCAUGGAUUUUUAGUCUUGUUGGGUAUAAAAUACCCCCCAGCCGAAGUUCAUGACAGGAAUGACCCUCCGGGGAUUCUACCGACUUCCGACCUUCGGCAACAUCUCUCCAAACCUCUCUGACAGUCGAGCCUCCGCAACACUCCCAAGUUUUGCCGACGGAUAAGCCCCCACCAGUGUCCACCAGAUUCUUCGCGACGGACGGACUCCACCCAAGUUUCCACGAUGAUCGACCACCUUCUAGACCCCGCUCGGACUCCUAUGGGAGCCGGACU
Molecule: long non-coding RNA, 294 nt
Filed under: Elaeis guineensis (African oil palm)
Lineage: Eukaryota; Viridiplantae; Streptophyta; Magnoliopsida; Arecales; Arecaceae
Description: long non-coding RNA (EGUI_LNC068419)
Source: RNAcentral